RNAcentral lists this ribosomal RNA (745 nucleotides) under Coelotilapia joka. Its description in RNAcentral is "partial 16S ribosomal RNA". It matches the Rfam family "Bacterial large subunit ribosomal RNA", at positions 687 to 1875 of the family's 2925-position model. The record is from RNAcentral. Lineage: Eukaryota; Metazoa; Chordata; Actinopteri; Cichliformes; Cichlidae.
AAAAAGCAUUAUAGUUUAACACCCCGAAACUAAGCGAGCUACUCCAAGGCAGUCUAAUUUAUAGGACCCCCCCGUCUCUGUGGCAAAAGAGUGGGACGAACUUUGAGUAGAGGUGACAGACCUACCGAGCCUAGUUAUAGCUGGUUACCUGAGAACUGAAUAGAAGUUCAGCCCUUUAAAUUCUCCCUCCCCGUUGACUCAUAAGCCUCAAUACCAGACAAAAGAAAUUAAAGGAGUUAGUCAAAGGGGGUACAGCCCCUUUGAAACAAGACACAACUUUUUAAGGAGAAUAAAGAUCACAACAAGCCUAAAGGCUAAAUGUUUUAGUGGGCCUAAAAGCAGCCAUCUACUCAGAAAGCGUUAAAGCUCAGACAUGCACAACCAGCCUUCCAAUACAGACAACAUAAUCUCACCCCCCUAAACCUACCAGGUCGUUCCAUAAAUAUAUGGAAGCGUUUAUGCUAAUAUGAGUAAUAAGAGAGUCCCCUCUCUCCCCGCACAAGUGUAAAUCGGAACGAACCAUUCACCGAUCAUUAACGGCCCCAAAACAAAGAGGGAACUAGACAAAAAACAAACAACUAGAAGACCAUCCAACCUCUCACCGUUAACCCCACACUGGUGUGCCAACCGGGAAAGACUAAAAGAAAAAAGAAGGACUCGGCAAACACAAGCCUCGCCUGUUUACCAAAAACAUCGCCUCUUGAAGCCCAAAAUAUAAGAGGUCCCGCCUGCCCUGUGACUAUAA